GUGAGGAAUAUUGGUCAAUGGGCGAGAGCCUGAACCAGCCAAGUCGCGUGAAGGAUGAAGGUUUUAUGAAUUGUAAACUUCUUUUGCAGGGGAAUAAAGUACGGUACGUGUACCGUUUUGUAUGUACUCUGCGAAUAAGGAUCGGCUAACUCCGUGCCAGCAGCCGCGGUAAUACGGAGGAUCCAAGCGUUAUCCGGAUUUAUUGGGUUUAAAGGGUGCGCAGGCGGGUUGAUAAGUCAGCGGUGAAAGUUUGCAGCUUAACUGUAAAAUUGCCGUUGAAACUGUCGAUCUUGAGUGCAAAUGAGGUAAGCGGAAUGUGUUGUGUAGCGGUGAAAUGCUUAGAUAUAACACAGAACACCGAUUGCGAAGGCAGCUUACUGGGAUGCAACUGACGCUCAUGCACGAAAGCGUGGGGAUCAAACAGGAUUAGAUACCCGUGUAGUCC
RNAcentral lists this ribosomal RNA (445 nucleotides) under uncultured bacterium. RNAcentral describes it as "partial 16S ribosomal RNA". It matches the Rfam family "Bacterial small subunit ribosomal RNA", at positions 354 to 796 of the family's 1533-position model. The record is from RNAcentral.